Oncorhynchus tshawytscha (Chinook salmon) is the source of this 758-nucleotide long non-coding RNA. The record is from Ensembl. NCBI's taxonomy places the organism in Eukaryota, Metazoa, Chordata, Actinopteri, Salmoniformes, Salmonidae.
GAGGUGGAGAUAGAGGUGGACGUGGAGGUGGAGAUCAGGUGGAGGUGGAGAUGGAGGAGGAGGUAGAGAUGAGGUUGAGAUAGAGGUGGAGAUGAGGUGGAGAUGGAGAUGGAGAUGAGGUAGAGAUGGAGAUAGAGGUGGAGAUGGAGAUGGAGAUGAGGUAGAGAUGGAGAUAGAGGUGGAGAUGAGGUAGAGAUGAAGGUGGAGAUGGAGGUGGAUGUGGAGAAGGAGGUAGAAAUGAGGUUGAGAUAGAGGUGGAGAUGAGGUGGAGAUAGAGGUGGGAAUAGAGGUGGGAAUAGAGGUGGAGAUAGAGGUGGAGAUGGAGAUGAGGGGGAGAUAGAGGUGGAGAUGGAGGUGGAGAUAGAGGUGGAGAUGAGGGGGAGAUGAGGAGAAGAUAGAGGUGGGAAUAGAGGUGGGAAUAGAGGUGGAGAUGGAGGUGGAGAUGGAGAUGGAGAUGAGGGGGAGAUAGAGGUGGAGAUAGAGGUGGAGAUGGAGGUGGAGAUAGAGGUGGGAAUAGAGGUGGAGAUGGAGGUGGAGAUGGAGGUGGAGAUGGAGGUGUGAGAAAGAGUGAACAUCAAAGUGUGAGUGGAUGUAGCCCUGCGAAGCUCAGAGUUUCAGCCCCUGUGACCCCUAAUGAGGGAUAUCAGCUCUCGCCACUGGCCCAUACUAAUGAGCUAAUGAGCGGGGGGUGCCGCACCUCUGGCCGCACCUCUGGCCGCAACUACUCCAUUAAUCAGACUGGAGAAACAGCCAUCAGC